CUCCUGGAACCGUCCGUGGCCGAAUGACAGCGAGAGAUCAGCCGAGGCACGCUUCCGCUUCAAGCACCGCCCAAUCCACCGUGGCCCCACCUCCAAGGAGGCACACCUCAAUACGUGAUUGGACCUGCCAGCCGUCUUCUUGGUGUAAAGCAGCAAGUUGUUUGAAUUCCUAUCCUGGCUUUGGCUGAUGACUGAGAUGUUGUCUGCAGAUCUUCGAAGCUUAGAUCGUCAGCAUAAUGCUGCCACCACUAUGCUUCACAAAUGGACCAGUAUUUUGCUCCAUCCUUCUUCACAUCAACCUUGAACACCUUCUCUGUCAUUGCAGAAGAAAAGCAUCCUCACAGCAUGAUGCUGCCACCACCAUGCUUCACCAUGAGGGGUCUGGGUGACAAUCAUUGUUAGUUUUCCAUCACACAUAU
Girardinichthys multiradiatus is the source of this 419-nucleotide long non-coding RNA. RefSeq lists it as uncharacterized. Lineage: Eukaryota; Metazoa; Chordata; Actinopteri; Cyprinodontiformes; Goodeidae. The record is from RefSeq and is a predicted model, not a curated record. The transcript is spliced from 3 exons.